AUUGAACGCUGGCGGCAUGCUUUACACAUGCAAGUCGAACGGCAGCGCGGGCUUCGGCCUGGCGGCGAGUGGCGAACGGGUGAGUAAUGCAUCGGAACGUGCCCAGUAGUGGGGGAUAGCCCGGCGAAAGCCGGAUUAAUACCGCAUACGACCUGAGGGUGAAAGCGGGGGACCGAAAGGCCUCGCGCUAUUGGAGCGGCCGAUGUCGGAUUAGCUAGUUGGUGGGGUAAAGGCUUACCAAGGCGACGAUCCGUAGCUGGUCUGAGAGGACGACCAGCCACACUGGGACUGAGACACGGCCCAGACUCCUACGGGAGGCAGCAGUGGGGAAUUUUGGACAAUGGGGGCAACCCUGAUCCAGCCAUGCCGCGUGCGAGAAGAAGGCCUUCGAGUUGUAAACCGCUUUUGUUCGGGAAGAAAUCCUCUGGGCUAAUACCCCGGGGGGAUGACGGUACCGGAAGAAUAAGCACCGGCUAACUACGUG
This 484-nucleotide ribosomal RNA is filed under the name uncultured bacterium. RNAcentral's name for it is "partial 16S ribosomal RNA". It matches the Rfam family "Bacterial small subunit ribosomal RNA", at positions 29 to 507 of the family's 1533-position model. The record is from RNAcentral.